GAGUNGAGUUGUUUGGGAAUGCUGCUUCAAAAUGGGAGGUAAACCCCUUCUAAAGCUAAAUACCGGCCAGAGACCGAUAGCGCACAAGUAGAGUGAUCGAAAGAUGAAAAGCACUUUGAAAAGAGAGUUAAAAAGCACGUGAAAUUGUUAAAAGGGAAGCGCUUGCGACCAGACUUGCGCCCGUCGGAUCAACCGUCGCUUGCGGCGGCGCACUCCGGCGGGCUCAGGCCAGCAUCAGUUCGCCUGGGGGGAGAAAGGCGGCGGGAAUGUGGCUCUUCGGAGUGUUAUAGCCCGCCGUGUAAUACCCUCGGGUGGACUGAGGACCGCGCGUAUGCAAGGAUGCUGGCGUAAUGGUCGUCAGCGACCCGUCUUGAAACACGGA
This 382-nucleotide ribosomal RNA is filed under the name Pseudoscopulariopsis hibernica. RNAcentral describes it as "LSU rRNA". It matches the Rfam family "Eukaryotic large subunit ribosomal RNA", at positions 262 to 665 of the family's 3401-position model. Lineage: Eukaryota; Fungi; Ascomycota; Sordariomycetes; Microascales; Microascaceae. The record is from RNAcentral.